GAUGAAGAACGUAGCAAAAUGCGAUAAGUAAUGUGAAUUGCAGAAUUCAGUGAAUCAUCGAAUCUUUGAACGCACAUUGCGCCCGCUGGUAUUCCGGCGGGCAUGCCUGUUCGAGCGUCAUUUCAACCCUCAAGCCCCCGGGUUUGGUGUUGGGGAUCGGCUCUGCCCUUCUGGGCGGUGCCGCCCCCGAAAUACAUUGGCGGUCUCGCUGCAGCCUCCAUUGCGUAGUAGCACACCUCGCACUGGGAAACAGCGCGGCCACGCCGUUAAACCCCCAACUUCUGAACGUUUGACCUCGGAUCAGGUAGGAAUACCCGCUGAACUUAAGCAUAUCAAUAAGCGGAGGA
This 347-nucleotide unclassified non-coding RNA is filed under the name soil metagenome. Its description in RNAcentral is "partial contains 5.8S ribosomal RNA, internal transcribed spacer 2, and large subunit ribosomal RNA". The stretch from base 1 to 120 matches the Rfam family "5.8S ribosomal RNA", at positions 35 to 154 of the family's 154-position model. The record is from RNAcentral.